UACGUAGGGUGCAGGCGUUAAUCGGAAUUACUGGGCGUAAAGCGUGCGCAGGCGGUUUCUUAAGUCAGAUGUGAAAGCCCCGGGCUUAACCUGGGAACUGCGUUUGAAACUGGGAGACUUGAGUGUGGCAGAGGGGGGUGGAAUUCCACGUGUAGCGGUGAAAUGCGUAGAUAUCUGGAGGAACACCGGUGGCGAAGGCGGCAUCCUGGACCGGUAUUGACGCUGAGGCGCGAAAGCCAGGGGAGCAAACGGG
Molecule: ribosomal RNA, 253 nt
Filed under: uncultured bacterium
Lineage: Bacteria
Description: partial 16S ribosomal RNA
Rfam family: Bacterial small subunit ribosomal RNA
Source: RNAcentral